Molecule: ribosomal RNA, 725 nt
Filed under: uncultured archaeon
Lineage: Archaea
Description: bacterial SSU rRNA
Rfam family: Archaeal small subunit ribosomal RNA
Source: RNAcentral
GUAAUACUCCAUAGUUCGUGCUGACUGGAAUGUUAUGCGAACGAAAGAUCCGUCGCUUCAGGAUGAGUCUGCGGCCGAUUAGGUAGUUGUUGGGGUAACGGCCCAACAAGCCUGUCAUCGGUACGGGUUGUGGGAGCAAGAGCCCGGAGAUGGAUUCUGAGACACGAAUCCAGGCCCUACGGGGCGCAGCAGGCGCGAAAACUUUACCAUGCGGGCAACCGUGAUAAGGAAACCCCGAGUGCCAGCACAGGCUGGCUGUCCGCCAGUGUAAAUAACUGGUGAAGAAAGGGCCGGGCAAGACCGGUGCCAGCCGCCGCGGUAAUACCGGCGGCUCGAGUGGUGGCCACUAUUACUGGGCUUAAAGGGUCCGUAGCUUGAUAUGCAAGUCUCUUGAGAAAUCCGCCAGCUUAACUGGUGGGCGUUCAGGGGAAACUGCAUUUCUAGGGACCGGGAGAGGUGAGAGGUACUGCCGGGGUAGGAGUGAAAUCCUGUAAUCCCGGUGGGACCACCUAUGGCGAAGGCAUCUCACCAGAACGGGUCCGACAGUGAGGGACGAAAGCUGGGGGAGCAAACCGGAUUAGAUACCCGGGUAGUCCCAGCUGUAAACGAUGCGCGUUAGGUGUGUCAGUGACCACGUGUCACUGAGGUGCCGAAGGGAAACCGUGAAACGCGCCGCCUGGGGAGUACGGUCGCAAGGCUGAAACUUAAAGGAAUUGGCGGGGGAG